Molecule: ribosomal RNA, 468 nt
Filed under: uncultured bacterium
Lineage: Bacteria
Description: partial 16S ribosomal RNA
Rfam family: Bacterial small subunit ribosomal RNA
Source: RNAcentral
GACGAACGCUGGCGGCGUGCUUAACACAUGCAAGUCGAACGGAAAGGCCCUGCUGUUGUGGGGUGCUCGAGUGGCGAACGGGUGAGUAACACGUGAGUAACCUGUCCUUGACUUUGGGAUAACUUCAGGAAACUGGGGCUAAUAUCGGAUAGGAGCUCCUGUUGCAUGGUGGGGGUUGGAAAGUUUCGGCGGUUGGGGAUGGACUCGCGGCUUAUCAGCGUGUUGGUGGGGUAGUGGCUUACCAAGGCUUUGACGGGUAGCCGGCCUGCGAGGGGGACCGGCCACAUUGGGAAUGAGAUACGGCCCAGGCUCCUACGGGAGGCAGCAGUGGGGAAUAUUGCACAAUGGGCGGAAGCCUGAUGCAGCAACGCCGCGUGCGGGAUGACGGCCUUCGGGUUGUAAACCGAUUUCGCCUGUGACGAAGCGUGAGUGACGGUAAUGGGUAAAGAAGCACCGGCUAACUACGUG